UACGGAGGAUCCCGAGCGUUAUCCGGAUUUACUGGGUUUAAAGGGUGCGUAGGCGGGCGCUUAAGUCAGCGGUGAAAAUGCGGGGGCGUCAACCUUACGUAACGGCCGUUGAUACUGGGCGCCUUGGAUUCGGUCGAGGCGGGCGGAAUGCGACAUGUAGCGGUGAAAUGCUUAGAUAUGUCGCAGAACGCCGAUUGCGAAGGCAGCUCGCCGGGCCGAUAUUGACGCUGAGGCACGAAAGCGUGGGGAUCGAACAGGAUUAGAAA
Molecule: ribosomal RNA, 266 nt
Filed under: uncultured bacterium
Lineage: Bacteria
Description: partial 16S ribosomal RNA
Rfam family: Bacterial small subunit ribosomal RNA
Source: RNAcentral